CCCGGAGCGGCCUGGCCUUGCAGACGACAAGACUCCCGGAGGAACGGCGGCUGUCAAGCGUCUGUGAUGCCGAAAGCCACAGGACAAAGACAGGUUGUAUUCACAUCUUGGCUAUCCUGAACAUCGUUGCAGUGAACACGGGAGUGCCAAGAUGUCUUCCAGAUCCUGAUUUCAUUUCUUUUGGAUAAAUACCCAGAAGUGGGAUGGCUGGAGCACGUUAAUGUGGUGUGUCCCAUUAAUCGAGUCAUCUUUGAGCCGUGUUGAUGAUGAUGAAUAUCCUGGCAAACCCAGCAAGAGUGUGUCCC
Long non-coding RNA from Neomonachus schauinslandi (Hawaiian monk seal), 305 nucleotides. RefSeq lists it as uncharacterized. The transcript is spliced from 4 exons. Lineage: Eukaryota; Metazoa; Chordata; Mammalia; Carnivora; Phocidae. The record is from RefSeq and is a predicted model, not a curated record.